This 1554-nucleotide ribosomal RNA is filed under the name Escherichia coli. Its description in RNAcentral is "bacterial SSU rRNA". It matches the Rfam family "Bacterial small subunit ribosomal RNA". Lineage: Bacteria; Pseudomonadati; Pseudomonadota; Gammaproteobacteria; Enterobacterales; Enterobacteriaceae. The record is from RNAcentral.
AAAUUGAAGAGUUUGAUCAUGGCUCAGAUUGAACGCUGGCGGCAGGCCUAACACAUGCAAGUCGAACGGUAACAGGAAACAGCUUGCUGUUUCGCUGACGAGUGGCGGACGGGUGAGUAAUGUCUGGGAAACUGCCUGAUGGAGGGGGAUAACUACUGGAAACGGUAGCUAAUACCGCAUAACGUCGCAAGACCAAAGAGGGGGACCUUCGGGCCUCUUGCCAUCAGAUGUGCCCAGAUGGGAUUAGCUAGUAGGUGGGGUAACGGCUCACCUAGGCGACGAUCCCUAGCUGGUCUGAGAGGAUGACCAGCCACACUGGAACUGAGACACGGUCCAGACUCCUACGGGAGGCAGCAGUGGGGAAUAUUGCACAAUGGGCGCAAGCCUGAUGCAGCCAUGCCGCGUGUAUGAAGAAGGCCUUCGGGUUGUAAAGUACUUUCAGCGGGGAGGAAGGGAGUAAAGUUAAUACCUUUGCUCAUUGACGUUACCCGCAGAAGAAGCACCGGCUAACUCCGUGCCAGCAGCCGCGGUAAUACGGAGGGUGCAAGCGUUAAUCGGAAUUGCUAGGCGUAAAGCGCACGCAGGCGGUUUGUUAAGUCAGUUGUUAAAUCCCCGCGCUCAACCUAGGAACUUCAUCUGAUACUGGCAAGCUUGAGUCUCGUAGAGGGGGGUAGAAUUCCAGGUGUAGCGGUGAAAUGCGUAGAGAUCUGGAGGAAUACCGGUGGCGAAGGCGGCCCCCUGGACGAAGACUGACGCUCAGGUGCGAAAGCGUGGGGAGCAAACAGGAUUAGAUACCCUGGUAGUCCACGCCGUAAACGAUGUCGACUUGGAGGUUGUGCCCUUGAGGCGUGGCUUCCGGAGCUAACGCGUUAAGUCGACCGCCUGGGGAGUACGGCCGCAAGGUUAAAACUCAAAUGAAUUGACGGGGGCCCGCACAAGCGGUGGAGCAUGUGGUUUAAUUCGAUGCAACGCGAAGAACCUUACCUGGUCUUGACAUCCACGGAAGUUUUCAGAGAUGAGAAUGUGCCUUCGGGAACCGUGAGACAGGUGCUGCAUGGCUGUCGUCAGCUCGUGUUGUGAAAUGUUGGGUUAAGUCCCGCAACGAGCGCAACCCUUAUCCUUUGUUGCCAGCGGUCCGGCCGGGAACUCAAAGGAGACUGCCAGUGAUAAACUGGAGGAAGGUGGGGAUGACGUCAAGUCAUCAUGGCCCUUACGACCAGGGCUACACACGUGCUACAAUGGCGCAUACAAAGAGAAGCGACCUCGCGAGAGCAAGCGGACCUCAUAAAGUGCGUCGUAGUCCGGAUUGGAGUCUGCAACUCGACUCCAUGAAGUCGGAAUCGCUAGUAAUCGUGGAUCAGAAUGCCACGGUGAAUACGUUCCCGGGCCUUGUACACACCGCCCGUCACACCAUGGGAGUGGGUUGCAAAAGAAGUAGGUAGCUUAACCUUCGGGAGGGCGCUUACCACUUUGUGAUUCAUGACUGGGGUGAAGUCGUAACAAGGUAACCGUAGGGGAACCUGCGGUUGGAUCACCUCCUUACCUUAAAGAAGC